GGAGGGGUGGCAGAGCGGUUGAAUGCGGCGGUCUCGAAAACCGUUAUAGGCCGGACAGGUCUAUCGAGGGUUCGAAUCCCUCCCCCUCCG
RNAcentral lists this transfer RNA (90 nucleotides) under Conexibacter arvalis. RNAcentral describes it as "Conexibacter sp. KV-962 tRNA". It matches the Rfam family "tRNA". From Rfam's summary of the family: Transfer RNA (tRNA) molecules are approximately 80 nucleotides in length. Their secondary structure includes four short double-helical elements and three loops (D, anti-codon, and T loops). Lineage: Bacteria; Bacillati; Actinomycetota; Thermoleophilia; Solirubrobacterales; Conexibacteraceae. The record is from Rfam by way of RNAcentral.